Molecule: non-coding RNA, 303 nt
Organism: Vicia faba (fava bean)
Lineage: Eukaryota; Viridiplantae; Streptophyta; Magnoliopsida; Fabales; Fabaceae
Source: the annotation of a GenBank genome assembly
AUGGAGCAAAAUAAGGAGAAAAAUACCCCUUGGUUAUCAGUACCACAGUUUGGAGAAUGGGAUCAGAAGGGUCCAUUGCCGGAUUACUCGAUGGAUUUUUCUAAAAUCCGAGAAAUGCGUAAACAGAAUAAGACUAAUGCGUCGAGAGCUAGUCUUGGUAAUGAGGAAGAGUUUACAACUUCUGUUCAGAAAGAUACAAAAACUAAUGACAGUGAGAUCCAACAUCCUCACUAUCACAAAACUAACUCUUCAGCUACAAGGAGGAGCUUCUUGAGCUACUUCAACUGUUGCAUAAAAGCCUGA